CCUACGGGAGGCAGCAGUGGGGAAUAUUGCACAAUGGGCGAAAGCCUGAUGCAGCAACGCCGCGUGAGGGAUGACGGCCUUCGGGUUGAAACCUCUUUUAGUAGGGAAGCGGUACCUGCAGAAAAAGCACCGGCUAACUACGUGCCAGCAGCCGCGGUAAUACGUAGGGUGCAAGCGUUGUCCGGAAUUAUUGGGCGUAAAGAGCUCGUAGGCGGUUUGUCGCGUCUGCUGUGAAAUCUGGGGGCUCAACCCCCAGCCUGCAGUGGGUACGGGCAGACUAGAGUGCGGUAGGGGAGAUUGGAAUUCCUGGUGUAGCGGUGGAAUGCGCAGAUAUCAGGAGGAACACCGAUGGCGAAGGCAGAUCUCUGGGCCGUACUGACGCUGAGGAGCGAAAGCAUGGGGAGCGAACAGGAUUAGAUACCCUUGUAGUC
Molecule: ribosomal RNA, 431 nt
Filed under: uncultured bacterium
Lineage: Bacteria
Description: partial 16S ribosomal RNA
Rfam family: Bacterial small subunit ribosomal RNA
Source: RNAcentral